Molecule: ribosomal RNA, 497 nt
Filed under: uncultured bacterium
Lineage: Bacteria
Description: partial 16S ribosomal RNA
Rfam family: Bacterial small subunit ribosomal RNA
Source: RNAcentral
GAUGAACGCUGGCGGCGUGCCUAAUACAUGCAAGUCGAGCGAACAGACGAGGAGCUUGCUCCUCUGACGUUAGCGGCGGACGGGUGAGUAACACGUGGAUAACCUACCUAUAAGACUGGGAUAACUUCGGGAAACCGGAGCUAAUACCGGAUAAUAUAUUGAACCGCAUGGUUCAAUAGUGAAAGACGGUUUUGCUGUCACUUAUAGAUGGAUCCGCGCCGCAUUAGCUAGUUGGUAAGGUAACGGCUUACCAAGGCAACGAUGCGUAGCCGACCUGAGAGGGUGAUCGGCCGCACUGGAACUGAGACACGGUCCAGACUCCUACGGGAGGCAGCAGUAGGGAAUCUUGCGCAAUGGGCGAAAGCCUGACGGAGCAACGCCGCGUGAGUGAUGAAGGUCUUCGGAUCGUAAAACUCUGUUAUUAGGGAGGAACAAAUGUGUGAGUAACUAUGCACGUCUUGACGGUACCUAAUCAGAAAGCCACGGCUAACUACGUG